Molecule: ribosomal RNA, 252 nt
Filed under: uncultured archaeon
Lineage: Archaea
Description: partial 16S ribosomal RNA
Rfam family: Archaeal small subunit ribosomal RNA
Source: RNAcentral
AGGGUGUAAACGCUGCAGAUUUGGUGUUGGGGGCCCUUUGGGGGCAUUCAGUGCCGGAGAGAAGUUGUUAAGUCUGCUACUUGGGGAGUACGUCCGCAAGGAUGAAACUUAAAGGAAUUGGCGGGGGAGCACCGCAACGGGAGGAGCGUGCGGUUUAAUUGGAUUCAACACCGUAAAACUCACCAGGGAAGACUGUUACAUGAAACCCAGACUAAUGAUCUUGGUUGAUUUUCUAGAGAGGUGGUGCAUGGC